Molecule: non-coding RNA, 79 nt
Filed under: human gut metagenome
Description: TPP riboswitch (THI element)
Rfam family: TPP riboswitch aptamer (THI element)
About the family: Vitamin B(1) in its active form thiamin pyrophosphate (TPP) is an essential coenzyme that is synthesised by coupling of pyrimidine and thiazole moieties in bacteria. The previously detected thiamin-regulatory element, thi box was extended, resulting in a new, highly conserved RNA secondary structure, the THI element, which is widely distributed in eubacteria and also occurs in some archaea. Analysis of operon structures identified a large number of new candidate thiamin-regulated genes, mostly transporters, in various prokaryotic organisms.
Source: RNAcentral
CAAAGGGGUGCCCAAUGUAAAUGGGCUGAGAUCACACCCUAUGAACCUGAUUCGGUUAGUACCGGCGAAGGGAUUUGUU